Pseudophryne corroboree (corroboree frog) is the source of this 802-nucleotide long non-coding RNA. RefSeq lists it as uncharacterized. Lineage: Eukaryota; Metazoa; Chordata; Amphibia; Anura; Myobatrachidae. The record is from RefSeq and is a predicted model, not a curated record. The transcript has 4 exons.
ACCUCUGUGAUUGCAAUGCUAUGGUUUCCCUGUGCAAGAUUUAGUCUGUGCCUCCUGUUCUUCCUGAGUCCAGUAACCUGCGAUUAUACAGCCCUUGCAAUAAACUGCCAGUUCCAGGACAUCAUCUGUCUGUUUACAGAUUCUGGUCUUUGGCUCCCUGCAACUCUGCUAAAGUAUUCCACUCCCCUCCAUUAUUUGAAGAUUAGGAGCAUUUACCAGAUGCCAGAAAAAGGUGGAAUUUCCUUUUCAUUUUGAGAGAAGAAAAAUAAAGGAAAUAUUGCAGUUGCCCAGGCAAGUUAUCAGGCAGCAGAAAGGGAGUAGCAGGCUGCAGGGCACCCCAAAAUACUUGGAACAAAGGUGAAGAAUGAUGUAAGAAUAUGAGCACAUGGUGAUCCAGAGUGGACAAUGGAGGAAUACUGUCACAACUCCAGCUGCUUCCAGAAAUCAGAAGUCCAUGCGAACGUCUCCCAUUCCUGGUUCGGACGUAUCUAAGCGACUCCACUGCUCCAAUACUCUGUUUACAAGAGCAGCCAUCAUCAGCACUAUUACCUGCAAUUGCGUCAGCUUCAUCCCCAGUGCAGAAGAUGUAACAGAUCUAUGCGGGUCAAACGCUGCAGUUUGUUCGCAGUGCAGCGAUCGUGUCAGAAUUGCGCUUGCCAGCCGGCCAAAGGCCGUCGUUACCUAGCAAUCGCCUCUGCCUGACUGACAGGCAGAGACGUUCGAUGGGCGGGAGGGGGCAGCACGGCGGCGUUUAGCCAUUUUUGGGACGCGGUCCGGCCAACGCAGGUGUGGCCGGACCGUA